This is a long non-coding RNA of Bos taurus (domestic cattle), 1058 nucleotides long. The record is from Ensembl. Lineage: Eukaryota; Metazoa; Chordata; Mammalia; Artiodactyla; Bovidae.
AUGAAGGUAAUGGGAGACAUCUCACCCAAGAUCUCUGCAAAUACACUAUACUGUUUUCCUGGAGAAAACAUCUGCUCCCUUCUCCCAUUUGAUUUCCAGCAUCACCAUUUACCACCUGGGUGGAAUUGGGAGAGUUGUUUUAUCUUUCUGAGCCUUAGACUCUCAUCUGUAAAAUGGGCAUACUUCUUUCUAUCAGAAUUGCUCAUCACUCUUUGAGGUGCUGAGUGCUGGAUCUCUGCUUACCUAGGAGGUAGGCUGCUGGAGGAGAGGAACGAUUGAUUCUUUUCUUAUUUGUGUUCUCUCUUCACCCCCUGCCUCCCAACAGGCCUCAAUAGAGGCCUCUGGGACUCCUGGCUGCAUGAUGCUGCAAGAAAUUUGUAAGGACAGCCAGAGGCACCCAGGCCAAGCCCUCGGCUCCUAGGCAAAGGACCUGUUCCUGCUUCUAGGACUCUCUGGGAGCAGGUGACCACCCAGGGCUGGCAGCGCCUCAUCCCAGAGAAGUGGGAGCAAGAGGGCACCCGCCUGAGCUCAGAGGCCCAGGACAAGGGUUAGAGCGAGGAUUGAAUGGCUUAUUUUUGCGGGCGUUGCAUACAUAGUUGCGGUCCAUGCAAAGCCCUUAGGACAGCGUUUGCACACGAUGUGGACACAGAUGCACUGAGUCAAGAGACCUGCCCAAGGAAGGCAUCCAGAGCUGGAAUGUGAGCCCAGGUGGGGAUUCUGCCCUGGAGCAUCUGGACCUUACCCCAGGAGGCCCGUGAGUGAAGGGACGUGGCCAAGUCUCCUGGGUCAGGCCGAGACAGAUGGCUCAGUGGUAAAGACACCUGCCAAUGCAGGAGACGCAGGAGUUGCAAGUUUGAUCCCUGGAGAAGGAAAUGGGAGCUCGCUUCAGUACUCUUGCCUGGAAAAUCCCAUGGACAGAGAAGCCUGGUGGGCUGCAGUCCACAGGAUUGCAAGGAGUCGGACACUGAGUCACUGAGUAUGAGUGAUCUUACUGAACUGUAUCUUAUAAAUGGUUAAAAUGGUAAGUUUAUAUUAAAAGUACUUAACAAUCAAUUCUA